RNAcentral lists this ribosomal RNA (186 nucleotides) under Salmonella enterica subsp. enterica serovar Paratyphi B. Its description in RNAcentral is "partial 23S ribosomal RNA". It matches the Rfam family "Bacterial large subunit ribosomal RNA", at positions 1 to 178 of the family's 2925-position model. Lineage: Bacteria; Pseudomonadati; Pseudomonadota; Gammaproteobacteria; Enterobacterales; Enterobacteriaceae. The record is from RNAcentral.
GGGUUGUGAGGUUAAGCGACUAAGCGUACACGGUGGAUGCCCUGGCAGUCAGAGGCGAUGAAGGACGUGCUAAUCUGCGAUAAGCGUCGGUAAGGUGAUAUGAACCGUUAUAACCGGCGAUUUCCGAAUGGGGAAACCCAGUGUGAUUCGUCACACUAUCAUUACGUGAAUACAUAGCGUAAUGAA